Molecule: ribosomal RNA, 497 nt
Filed under: uncultured bacterium
Lineage: Bacteria
Description: partial 16S ribosomal RNA
Rfam family: Bacterial small subunit ribosomal RNA
Source: RNAcentral
GAUGAACGCUGGCGGCGUGCCUAAUACAUGCAAGUCGAGCGAACAGAUGAGGAGCUUGCUCCUCUGACGUUAGCGGCGGACGGGUGAGUAACACGUGGAUAACCUACCUAUAAGACUGGGAUAACUUCGGGAAACCGGAGCUAAUACCGGAUAAUAUAUUGAACCGCAUGGUUCAAUAGUGGAAGACGGUUUUGCUGUCACUUAUAGAUGGAUCCGCGCCGCAUUAGCUAGUUGGUAAGGUAACGGCUUACCAAGGCAACGAUGCGUAGCCGACCUGAGAGGGUGAUCGGCCACACUGGAACUGAGACACGGUCCCGACUCCUACGGGAGGCAGCAGUAGGGAAUCUUCCGCAAUGGGCGAAAGCCUGACGGAGCAACGCCGCGUGAGUGAUGAAGGUCUUCGGAUCGUAAAACUCUGUUAUUAGGGAAGAACAAAUGUGUAAGUAACUAUGCACGUCUUGACGGUACCUAAUCAGAAAGCCACGGCUAACUACGUG